Molecule: ribosomal RNA, 274 nt
Filed under: uncultured bacterium
Lineage: Bacteria
Description: partial 16S ribosomal RNA
Rfam family: Bacterial small subunit ribosomal RNA
Source: RNAcentral
AUACGGAGGGUGCGAGCGUUAAUCGGAAUUACUGGGCGUAAAGCGUACGUAGGCGGUUCGUUAAGUCAGAUGUGAAAGCCCCGGGCUUAACCUGGGAACUGCAUUUAAAACUGGCGGACUAGAGUUGAGUAGAGGGGAGUGGAAUUUCAGGUGUAGCGGUGAAAUGCGUAGAGAUCAGAAGGAACACCAGUGGCGAAGGCGACUCCCUGGACUCGAACUGACGCUGAGGUACGAAAGCGUGGGUAGCAAACGGGAUUAGAAACCCUUGUAGUCC